UUGAAGAGUUUGAUCAUGGCUCAGAUUGAACGCUGGCGGCAGGCCUAACACAUGCAAGUCGAGCGGUAGCACAGAGAGCUUGCUCUCGGGUGACGAGCGGCGGACGGGUGAGUAAUGUCUGGGAAACUGCCUGAUGGAGGGGGAUAACUACUGGAAACGGUAGCUAAUACCGCAUAAUGUCGCAAGACCAAAGUGGGGGACCUUCGGGCCUCAUGCCAUCAGAUGUGCCCAGAUGGGAUUAGCUAGUAGGUGGGGUAACGGCUCACCUAGGCGACGAUCCCUAGCUGGUCUGAGAGGAUGACCAGCCACACUGGAACUGAGACACGGUCCAGACUCCUACGGGAGGCAGCAGUGGGGAAUAUUGCACAAUGGGCGCAAGCCUGAUGCAGCCAUGCCGCGUGUGUGAAGAAGGCCUUCGGGUUGUAAAGCACUUUCAGCGGGGAGGAAGGCGGUAAGGUUAAUAACCUUGUCGAUUGACGUUACCCGCAGAAGAAGCACCGGCUAACUCCGUGCCAGCAGCCGCGGUAAUACGGAGGGUGCAAGCGUUAAUCGGAAUUACUGGGCGUAAAGCGCACGCAGGCGGUCUGUCAAGUCGGAUGUGAAAUCCCCGGGCUCAACCUGGGAACUGCAUUCGAAACUGGCAGGCUAGAGUCUUGUAGAGGGGGGUAGAAUUCCAGGUGUAGCGGUGAAAUGCGUAGAGAUCUGGAGGAAUACCGGUGGCGAAGGCGGCCCCCUGGACAAAGACUGACGCUCAGGUGCGAAAGCGUGGGGAGCAAACAGGAUUAGAUACCCUGGUAGUCCACGCCGUAAACGAUGUCGAUUUGGAGGUUGUGCCCUUGAGGCGUGGCUUCCGGAGCUAACGCGUUAAAUCGACCGCCUGGGGAGUACGGCCGCAAGGUUAAAACUCAAAUGAAUUGACGGGGGCCCGCACAAGCGGUGGAGCAUGUGGUUUAAUUCGAUGCAACGCGAAGAACCUUACCUGGUCUUGACAUCCACAGAACUUUCCAGAGAUGGAUUGGUGCCUUCGGGAACUGUGAGACAGGUGCUGCAUGGCUGUCGUCAGCUCGUGUUGUGAAAUGUUGGGUUAAGUCCCGCAACGAGCGCAACCCUUAUCCUUUGUUGCCAGCGGUUAGGCCGGGAACUCAAAGGAGACUGCCAGUGAUAAACUGGAGGAAGGUGGGGAUGACGUCAAGUCAUCAUGGCCCUUACGACCAGGGCUACACACGUGCUACAAUGGCAUAUACAAAGAGAAGCGACCUCGCGAGAGCAAGCGGACCUCAUAAAGUAUGUCGUAGUCCGGAUUGGAGUCUGCAACUCGACUCCAUGAAGUCGGAAUCGCUAGUAAUCGUAGAUCAGAAUGCUACGGUGAAUACGUUCCCGGGCCUUGUACACACCGCCCGUCACACCAUGGGAGUGGGUUGCAAAAGAAGUAGGUAGCUUAACCUUCGGGAGGGCGCUUACCACUUUGUGAUUCAUGACUGGGGUGAAGUCGUAACAAGGUAACCGUAGGGGAACCUGCGGUUGGAUCACCUCCUU
Molecule: ribosomal RNA, 1536 nt
Filed under: Klebsiella pneumoniae
Lineage: Bacteria; Pseudomonadati; Pseudomonadota; Gammaproteobacteria; Enterobacterales; Enterobacteriaceae
Description: bacterial SSU rRNA
Rfam family: Bacterial small subunit ribosomal RNA
Source: RNAcentral